GCCGCUCGUAUAUACAGUGUUCGGGCCAAAGCUGCACUAGCUGCUGCGUGCGAAACACAUUUGACCUCCCUUAAAAUGCUGCAAACUAUGAGGUCUGUGCAUAUGAAACGUAUUGUAUUCACCCUUCAUGCCGAGGCACAUGCAUCGAUGGAGCCCAUGCAUUGCCGUCAGGUACCCCUCGUCCCUAAGAUCUACUGCUGUAACAACCACGCACACAUACUGCUAGUAGUCAUAAGAGCUGUAAUUCCUGUGACCUCUGGUGUCCUGUUCGCGCCAGUUGCACCGCAAACGCUUCCACAUGAACUGUUAAACUGUUUAAAAUUUUCGUAUUCUUAAGUAUCGCGCGUGUGUAUGCUUUGAAAAUACAGGAGAUGGAAAAGGUACGCUUACAGCGCUAGCCGUCAGCGAUUUCUGGCUUACCAGGGUCUCAAGAUCUAGGACCUCUUUUCCGAAAGCACUGAAAGGAGUUUUGCAACGUUAUGUAAUCUUUUCGGGGACUUUCCAUGGACCUGCCGGCGAAGUAAGGGAAUGAUAUGCGCACGCCGCCGAAUAAGUAAUUAUCAGUAAAUUGUUAACCUGCAGGUAUCACGUUGAACUUCUUAAUGCAAUGCCAACAUAAACCAAACAGAACAAGCCUACAACAUGACUUCCAAAGGGUGGCAUGUAUGUUAGAAGCGCCCUGCAUUCCGCUAAGGUACAGCUUGUUUGCUAUUUGGACGGAACAGUCUUUUUUGCGUUCUUUUCCGAGUACCUCUUACACUGCUUGUCCUGCGCAUCCUUUACAUGUACUACGGCUAAGGGAUCCCUUCCGGAUGAUGAAGAAUGUGCUUUAUGCUGGACCAAUUACACAUCACGAUCAGCAUCGAUUAAGCGGCUCCAGGAGCUGGUACCAGCUGGUACCGGCCGGUGCUUAGGGCCCGAUCCGCCGCCGGGAGGACGACUUCCUGAGGCAAACACGACGGACAUCCCGAACGGUGCUUACAUCCGUGUUAUGGAAAAUUGCUCUUACGUGUGUGGACCGGACGGAUGGACAAGAGGCAACGUUUUGCAUCACUUGUUUCUUGGCCGCAAGCAGCAACGUAGUGAAGGACAUGGACGCGCAUGCACAGGCCAUGGAAUGGUAUGUCUAAAUCAUGGAUGGCGACGUUCAACUCUCAGAAUGGUGAUUUCUGCCUUUGGGUUCAAUUCUGAACCUGGAAUGCUGCUGGCUCUGCCCGUACCGGAAAAGUGCUUUCCGGUACGGCGGUGCCAGGAGGUGGUAUCUACGUCGUCUUAGGGGCAACCCUAAGACCAAGGGGAUGAACGAAUACAUAUACACUUUCUGUUUCUUGGCUGCAGCAAGUGUUGUCCUGGGCGCAACGUUGAUGGCCUGAUGCCGACGCGACCUCCUUUACGACAAUGCUAGGCAAACGCAGCGGAUGUUCAUGAAUUACUUAAGCGUUCAUAUUACUCGUCACAGCUUCAACGGCACUGUACUGGGCGGAUGUAAGACGUGCGUUGGUGGACGCGAUGGCCUUACGAAGGGGGAGAAAGACGCUUAGGAGAUGCUUGGAUUGUUAUGUACAAGUCACAGACGGGGACGUUUAACUCUAUGAAUGCUGAGUUUUAGCUACUAGUCGGGUUUUUUGAACUUCGCUGUUGUUGUUUCCGCCCGUACAGGAAAAGUGUCUUCUGAUACGGCGGUCACAGCAGGUAGUAUCCACGUCGACUUGUAUGCAAACCAAAUACAACGAAACCAGGGGAUGAUAUGACAGUUUUGGAAUGCUUGUUUCUUGGCCGCAAGCAGCAGCAUACUUAAAUCGCGUUGGGCCAUUUGCCCAGGCUGCCGCAAGGACGACAAGCCAGGCUAAUGCAGCUGGUGUCCAUGACGGGUUCAUUACGUGCUGAAUAUGAAAGAUUGCUACAAAGACUCUGGCCCUGACGAACGUAAAAUGUGAUGUUCGUAAGGAAGAAAACAGACGCAUAUCCAAGGCAUGGAGCUGUUUGUAGGGAAACCGUAAAUGAAGGUUUAAGGAACUGAACGAUGAAUUCUGCCGGUGUGGUCGGUUCUGGAUCUCUUAUGUUGCUCGUCACGCUCGUACGGAAAAUGGGCAUUUGUUGCAGGAGGGAGUCUGUGUGUCAAGUCGUAGUCGAACCUUUUUCAAAGGGGAUGAGCACACACACAGCUUGCAUUCCAUGUUCACUAAUGUCAGCCCACAGUAAGCUACUGGGCUAGACUUGGAGGGUCCGACCGGGGCAACUCGUUGCUGUGGACUUGUAGGCAAGUCAAGUAGGGCUAUGGAAUGCUAGGACAAUGUUAUUAUGUUUGUGUUAUAGGCUUGGGUAGGAAUUCUUAAGCAAUACGUUGAGUGGCUUUUCCGCCGGCGGGAGGACGACAAUCCCACGCAAACAGGACGGAUGUUCCGAAUGUUGCUUACAUUCAUGUUGUCGAAGCUCGCGACGACGGCUCUGGACAGGACGGAUGUCAAGUGUGCGUUGGUGGACGUGAUGGCAACGUAGUGAAGGACACGGACGCGCAUGCACAGGCCAUGGAAUGGUAUGUCUAAAUCAUGGAUGGCGACGUUCAACUCUCAGAAUGGUGAUUUCUGCCUUUGGGUUCAAUUCUGAACCUGGAAUGCUGCUGGCUCUGCCCGUACCGGAAAAGUGCUUUCCGGUACGGCGGUGUCAGGAGGUGGUAUCUACGUCGUCUUAGGGGCAACCCUAAGACUAAGGGGAUGAACGAAUAGAGAUAUACUUAGGGUUUCUUGNNNNNNNNNNNNNNNNNNNNNNNNNNNNNNNNNNNNNNNNNNNNNNNNNNNNNNNNNNNNNNNNNNNNNNNNNNNNNNNNNNNNNNNNNNNNNNNNNNNNNNNNNNNNNNNNNNNNNNNNNNNNNNNNNNNNNNNNNNNNNNNNGGUGAGAUGGUAAAAAGGCGGAUGUGUGGCGCGGCUACCAUCGUACCCAAUGGGUGCGAUGGUAAACAGGCGGAUGUGUGGCACGGCUACCAUCGUACCCAAUGGGUGCAAUGGUAAAAAGGCGGAUGUGUGGCACGGCUACCAUCGUACCCAAUGGGUGCGAUGGUAAAAAGGCGGAUGUGUGGCACGGCUACCAUCGUACCCAAUGGGUGCGAUGGUAAACAGGCGGCGAUGGUAAACAGGCGGAUGUGUGGCACGGCUACCAUCGUACCCAAUGGGUGCGAUGGUAAAAAGGCGGAUGUGUGGCGCGGCUACCAUCGUACCCAAUGGGUGCGAUGGUAAACAGGCGGCGAUGGUAAACAGGCGGAUGUGUGGCACGGCUACCAUCGUACCCAAUGGGUGCGAUGGUAAAAAGGCGGAUGUGUGGCGCGGCUACCAUCGUACCCAAUGGGUGCGAUGGUAAACAGGCGGCGAUGGUAAACAGGCGGAUGUGUGGCACGGCUACCAUCGUACCCAAUGGGUGCAAUGGUAAAAAGGCGGAUGUGUGGCGCGGCUACCAUCGUACCCAAUGGGUGCGAUGGUAAAAAGGCGGAUGUGUGGCACGGCUACCAUCGUACCCAAUGGGUGCGAUGGUAAACAGGCGGCGAUGGUAAACAGGCGGAUGUGUGGCACGGCUACCAUCGUACCCAAUGGGUGCGAUGGUAAAAAGGCGGAUGUGUGGCGCGGCUACCAUCGUACCCAAUGGGUGCGAUGGUAAACAGGCGGCGAUGGUAAACAGGCGGAUGUGUGGCACGGCUACCAUCGUACCCAAUGGGUGCGAUGGUAAAAAGGCGGAUGUGUGGCGCGGCUACCAUCGUACCCAAUGGGUGCGAUGGUAAACAGGCGGCGAUGGUAAACAGGCGGAUGUGUGGCACGGCUACCAUCGUACCCAAUGGGUGCAAUGGUAAAAAGGCGGAUGUGUGGCGCGGCUACCAUCGUACCCAAUGGGUGCGAUGGUAAAAAGGCGGAUGUGUGGCACGGCUACCAUCGUACCCAAUGGGUGCGAUGGUAAACAGGUGGCGAUGGUAAACAGGCGGAUGUGUGGCACGGCUACCAUCGUACCCAAUGGGUGNNNNNNNNNNNNNNNNNNNNNNNNNNNNNNNNNNNNNNNNNNNNNNNNNNAAAACGUCGGGUUGUAUGUGGUGGAGCAGGUCACUGGAUAUGAAGGGAGGAUCUUGAAUUUGAACAUCAACAUGUUUUCUUCUAUCUUAAGCUCAGGGCCUACUUUAGGUGCAGCACGUUGUGUUUCGGUCACGAGAGAGUGGAUGCAGAUCAUUCAACCGUGUGGGCCUGCUGGUGGCUGUAAGCAGAUAUUGGCGUUGAACUGCUUUUCAAAUGCAGUAGUGCUUCGUAUGCUAAACUGUGAAGCACAUGGAUACCUUACGCCAUGUAAGUAGUGCCAUUCGUUUCAUGCCUAAAUUCACUGCAGCAGUAGUGCUUUUGGAACAGCAGCCUGGAUUUUCAUCCAGUCAAUUAGUGCCUUGCUAAUAAGCGAGGUAAUAUGCAUGAUUGAUGAUAUUGCUUGAAACGUAUGGUUUGCCAAAUAUUAGGCAAAAGGCAGGACAUUUCGUUACAAACCGUUCAAGAAUGUUUGUUCUAAACGACAUUAUCCAUCAACACCGUGAGACAGAGCUAAAAUACAGUCUGAAAACAUCUGACAAGCCUUAACAACGGCUAACAGCACCAAUUCCUGUUCUACUUCUCCAACAUGGUUGUUAACAGCCAGAUCCACCUGCCGCCAGCCCAAACAUCGUCUGACAGCCCCAUCACUGUUAGAGAAUCUGUUAGGCUAACAUUUCCUAACAGGCACGCCUGUUAGCCGCUGUUAGACCCCCUAUGAGUUGGUUGUAUACAACCGGCCUUACACGGGUCCUGUAAGAAGGAAUCAACUCCCUUGGCAUCAUCCUGAGUACUCUUUGCCUGGUCGUCAGUAAAAUUGGAGGUCACCUAUAGGUCGGGCCAUCGCCUCAUAUGUAGGACCGCGGAAUAUGUGGCGUAUAGGUGAUUUCGCGUAUAUAAUCGUAUACAUCACACCUAUAGGCGAUCUGCAGAUAGUAUACAACAGCUGUUGUAUACAGCAUGGUCUAUAGGCCUGUAGGCUAUAGGUUACCAUGUGUACGCAUGCAAAGCUGUGAGAGCCGAAAUAAUCCGUUGUAUAAAGGCAUGCCUUUAUGUAGGCCACUCGUGUAUACAGUGUUCGAGCCAAAGCUGCACUAGCUGCUGCGAAACACCUUUGACCUCCCUUAAAAUGCUGCAAACUAUGAGGUCUGUGCAUAUGAAACGUUUUGUAUUCACCCUUCAUGCCGAGGCACAUGCAUCGAUGGAGUCCAUGCAACGCCGUCAGGCACCCCUCGUCAUUAAGACCUGUUAGUAAGAGCUGUAUUUCCUGUGACCUCUGGUGUCCUAUUCGCGCCAGUUGCACC
This 5353-nucleotide long non-coding RNA is filed under the name Volvox carteri. RNAcentral's name for it is "long non-coding RNA (VCAR_LNC003196)". The record is from RNAcentral. Lineage: Eukaryota; Viridiplantae; Chlorophyta; Chlorophyceae; Chlamydomonadales; Volvocaceae.